GGGGUUGUGGCUCAGUGGCAGAGAUGUACUUGGCAUGCAGAAGGUCCCAGGUUCAAUCCCAGGCUUCUCUA
Molecule: transfer RNA, 71 nt
Filed under: Sphaerodactylus townsendi
Lineage: Eukaryota; Metazoa; Chordata; Lepidosauria; Squamata; Sphaerodactylidae
Description: tRNA-Ala
Source: RNAcentral